Molecule: ribosomal RNA, 521 nt
Filed under: Fusarium oxysporum
Lineage: Eukaryota; Fungi; Ascomycota; Sordariomycetes; Hypocreales; Nectriaceae
Description: partial 18S ribosomal RNA
Rfam family: 5.8S ribosomal RNA (bases 206-359)
Source: RNAcentral
UGUGAAGUAAAAAAUCGUAACAAGGUCUCCGUUGGUGAACCAGCGGAGGGAUCAUUACCGAGUUUACAACUCCCAAACCCCUGUGAACAUACCACUUGUUGCCUCGGCGGAUCAGCCCGCUCCCGGUAAAACGGGACGGCCCGCCAGAGGACCCCUAAACUCUGUUUCUAUAUGUAACUUCUGAGUAAAACCAUAAAUAAAUCAAAACUUUCAACAACGGAUCUCUUGGUUCUGGCAUCGAUGAAGAACGCAGCAAAAUGCGAUAAGUAAUGUGAAUUGCAGAAUUCAGUGAAUCAUCGAAUCUUUGAACGCACAUUGCGCCCGCCAGUAUUCUGGCGGGCAUGCCUGUUCGAGCGUCAUUUCAACCCUCAAGCACAGCUUGGUGUUGGGACUCGCGUUAAUUCGCGUUCCCCAAAUUGAUUGGCGGUCACGUCGAGCUUCCAUAGCGUAGUAGUAAAACCCUCGUUACUGGUAAUCGUCGCGGCCACGCCGUUAAACCCCAACUUCUGAAUGUUGACCCU